RNAcentral lists this ribosomal RNA (529 nucleotides) under Enterococcus faecium. RNAcentral's name for it is "bacterial SSU rRNA". It matches the Rfam family "Bacterial small subunit ribosomal RNA", at positions 17 to 517 of the family's 1533-position model. Lineage: Bacteria; Bacillati; Bacillota; Bacilli; Lactobacillales; Enterococcaceae. The record is from RNAcentral.
UCCUGGCUCAGGACGAACGCUGGCGGCGUGCCUAAUACAUGCAAGUCGUACGCUUCUUUUUCCACCGGAGCUUGCUCCACCGGAAAAAGAGGAGUGGCGAACGGGUGAGUAACACGUGGGUAACCUGCCCAUCAGAAGGGGAUAACACUUGGAAACAGGUGCUAAUACCGUAUAACAAUCGAAACCGCAUGGUUUUGAUUUGAAAGGCGCUUUCGGGUGUCGCUGAUGGAUGGACCCGCGGUGCAUUAGCUAGUUGGUGAGGUAACGGCUCACCAAGGCCACGAUGCAUAGCCGACCUGAGAGGGUGAUCGGCCACAUUGGGACUGAGACACGGCCCAAACUCCUACGGGAGGCAGCAGUAGGGAAUCUUCGGCAAUGGACGAAAGUCUGACCGAGCAACGCCGCGUGAGUGAAGAAGGUUUUCGGAUCGUAAAACUCUGUUGUUAGAGAAGAAGAAGGAUGAGAGUAACUGUUCAUCCCUUGACGGUAUCUAACCAGAAAGCCACGGCUAACUACGUGCCAGCAGCCG